Molecule: long non-coding RNA, 330 nt
Filed under: Neogale vison (American mink)
Lineage: Eukaryota; Metazoa; Chordata; Mammalia; Carnivora; Mustelidae
Description: Neovison vison (American mink) lncRNA (ENSNVIG00000014752.1)
Source: RNAcentral
GCACAACGUUUAACUUACAGGCAACUCUCAAAAGAUGCCAAACAGAAAUCUCAAGCUGAGUUGAAGAUGAGAAGGAAAAGUCAAGGAGGAUGAAAUGUACUCAGAUACAAACACAGAGAAAUUGAGUAUAUAGAAACCAUUACAUCUCGCCAGAGCGAAAUCCAGAAAUUUAUUGCAGAUGAUUGCAAAGAAGCUCUACUUGAAGAGAAAAGGCACUUCUGCUUUCUGGUCGACAAACACUGUAGCUUUGCAAAAAACUUGCAUUAUUAUCAUUUACAGAAUUACUCAAUUCCAAGCUGCCCUGGUGGCAGGAAACCUGUGGUGAUGCUA